UCUGGCUCGCGUUACCUUAGCAGCCUAGCCGAAGCAAUAUUGAAGUUGCUGUCUAACGGUUGUUUCGCUGAAAUAAGGAUUCGUCAAGUGCUUGGAGACAGUCCUAGCACAAGCAAAGCUUUGAGAAUGCUGUUAAGGCAAGAAGAAGUGAAAAGAUCUGGCAGAGGAGGGAGGCAUGACCCAUAUAUUUACAAGGUACGCGGUUCUUCUCAUAAAAUCUUUUUACCGCUUCUGACAUUUCAAUGAAGUGAUUAAUUUAUAAAAUUAACACUAAAAAUGUUACUGCCAUGUGUCAUAAUUGUAAUCAGUGACCUCUCCUUUUGCAGAUAGCAUGAAAAAUUAUAUAGGGAGCUUGACCUAGUUAUACUAUAUAACUACAGGUCAUCUUUCUAGGGUUUAUCCGUCCCACCACCAAGGGAAAUUUUGGUCAGCGAAUAUAUAUGAAAGUGAAAUAGGAAAUAUUGGUAUAUGAUUAAUUAGGCUGGUAGCAUAACAUAGAGCAGCAUAAUAGUCUCAUUGCCUUUAGCUGUUGUUUCUGCCCGGAAUUACAUAAAAGAUGUAAAAAAAGGGAACCGAGUGACACCAGCAUUACACCACUAUAUACACUAGGAUGGCGGUGGCGGUGGCGGUGCCUUGCCGUAUACAUUAUAGUUAACUGAACAUUUUCCCUAUAUUGAUAUGUGCUAUUGUUUUUCUUGCUGAGCCUAGAGUUGGGCUUUGGCCAUAUACCUCUUUUGAGAAAGCUUUGUUCAUAUACUUGAAAUUAAUAGACUGAGGAAUAAUUUCAGCUUAAAUUGAAUGCAAGUCAGUAUUAUGCACGAUUGAUAACUGUUGGAGGGGAGCCAUGGCCCAUAUAUAUUCCUUGAAUUGUUGUUAAGGAUGAUUUUGAUGUGAUGAGAAGGAAUGAGCAUGAUGCAAGGAAUAACCGUGGCUCUUUCUUUCUUUAUAAGAAUAAAAAAUAGAUGACACUUCACAUUCUACAAAUUUCAUUUCCUGUCUCUGUGAACUCUUUAUGCUUUCUUUUAAUCAUAUAUCCCAGGAUAGUUCUUUCCCCCCCUAGUCCCUGAUAUUCCUGCGGACACGAUUCUUUAUUGUUUCCUUCUUGCUCACGAGCUGCUCUUUGCUUUCUACCAAUGCAAGCAACUUGAUUAACAGUUGUUGGGCUGUAAUCUUGUGGCCUUUUGUUUAUCUGAAUGGCCAGCUAUGAAAGUUUUUGUUUUAUAUUGUUAGGCUACUUGUUAGAACAAAUUUUUUAUAAAAAUAAUAUAAUAGUAUUUUUUAUAUUU
Long non-coding RNA from Populus nigra (black poplar), 1286 nucleotides. RefSeq lists it as uncharacterized. Lineage: Eukaryota; Viridiplantae; Streptophyta; Magnoliopsida; Malpighiales; Salicaceae. The record is from RefSeq and is a predicted model, not a curated record. The transcript has 2 exons.